GAGUUUGAUCCUGGCUCAGAACGAACGCUGGCGGCGUGGCUAAGACAUGCAAGUCGAACGCACCAUGGAAUUGGGUAACCGAGACCAUGGUGAGUGGCGAAAGGGUGAGGAAUAAAUAGGUAACAUACCCCGUACUCCGGGAUAGCGUCGUUGCCGCAAGGCAACUACCGAAAGGGGCGGUAAUACCGGAUGAUAUCGGAUUUCACAAGGAGUCCGAUCAAAGAUUCAUCGGUGCGGGAAUGGCCUAUUUCCUAUCAGCUAGUUGGUGAGGUAACGGCCCACCAAGGCGAUGACGGGUAGCGGGACUGAGAGGUUGACCCGCCACAUCGGGACUGAGACACUGCCCGGACCUCCACGGAGGGCUGCAGUAACGAAUAUUGCGCAAUGGGCGAAAGCCUGACGCAGCGACGCCGCGUGUAGGACGAAGCCCCUCGGGGUGUAAACUACCGUCAGGGGUUAGAAAGUCCGAGCAAUCGGAUUGAUCAGCCCCAGAGGAAGUCACGGCUAACUUCGUGCCAGCAGCCGCGGUAAUACGAAGGUGGCUAGCGUUGUUCGGUGUCACUGGGCUUAAAGCGCUCGUAGGUGGGACCGUAAGUGUCUUGUGAAAUCCCCCGGCUCAACCGGGGAAUGGCUGGGCAUACUGCGGUCCUUGAGGCAAACAGGGGUGCAUGGAACUCUUGGUGGAGCGGUGGAAUGCGUAGAUAUCAAGAGGAACGCCGAUGGUGAAGACAAUGCACUGGGUUUGUCUGACGCUGAGGAGCGAAAGCGUGGGGAGCAAACAGGAUUAGAUACCCUGGUAGUCCACGCCCUAAACGAUGCUUACUAGGUUGUAGGGGAUCUGACGCCCUUACAGUCGGAGCAAAAGUGUUAAGUAAACCGCCUGGGGAGUACGGUCGCAAGGCUAAAACUCAAAGGAAUUGACGGGGGCUCACACAAGCGGUGGAGCAUGUGGAUUAAUUCGAAGCAACGCGCAGAACCUUACCUGGGUUUGACAUGUAAGGAUGGCUUCCUGGAAACAGGGUAGUCUGCCCGCAAGGGUGGAACUUAUACAGGUGCUGCAUGGCUGUCGUCAGCUCGUGUCGUGAGAUGUCGGGUUAAGUCCUUUAACGAGCGAAACCCCUACCGUUAGUUGCCAUCGGGUCAUGCCGGGGACUCUAGCGGGACUGCCGGUGUUAAGCCGGAGGAAGGUGGGGAUGACGUCAAGUCCUCAUGGCCUUUAUGCCCAGGGCCUCACACGUGCUACAAUGGCGUCUACAGAGCGAUGCGAUACCGCGAGGUGGAGCAAAUCGCAAAAAAGACGCCCCAGUUCAGAUUGUAGGCUGACAACUCGCCUACAUGAAGUCGGAAUCGCUAGUAAUCGCGUAUCAGCCACGGCGCGGUGAAUGUGUUCCUGAGCCUUGUACACACCGCCCGUCAAGUGAUGGGAGUCGGAAGUACCCGAAGUUGGGUUGCUAACCCGCAAGGGAGGCGCCUGCCUACGGUAAGUUCGAUGACUGGCACUAAGUCGUAACAAGGUAGCCGUAGGGGAACCUGCGGCUGGAUCACCUCCUUUCUA
RNAcentral lists this ribosomal RNA (1555 nucleotides) under uncultured bacterium. RNAcentral describes it as "bacterial SSU rRNA". It matches the Rfam family "Bacterial small subunit ribosomal RNA". The record is from RNAcentral.